Molecule: microRNA precursor, 81 nt
Organism: Dipodomys ordii (Ord's kangaroo rat)
Lineage: Eukaryota; Metazoa; Chordata; Mammalia; Rodentia; Heteromyidae
Product: microRNA 19b-2
Source: Ensembl
ACUUACGAUUCGUUUUGCAGGUUUGCAUUUCAGCGUAUAUAUGUAUGUAUGGCUGUGCAAAUCCAUGCAAAACUGAUUGUG